This 2533-nucleotide long non-coding RNA is filed under the name Homo sapiens (human). RNAcentral's name for it is "HSALNT0352473". Lineage: Eukaryota; Metazoa; Chordata; Mammalia; Primates; Hominidae. The record is from RNAcentral.
GCACCUGGCCCAGACACUGUAAGUUUUGGGGAGGAUUAAAUGGGAUCAUCCAUGUAAAUGCGCCUAUCCCAGUCUCUAGCACACACUGAACACUCAAAAAUGGGAGGUUUUGGUAUUUCAGAAGAAAAUCAGGUGUCGGGGAGUGUUAGUAGUAACCUUGAACUAUAUGCAAAGACUAAAGCUAGGAAGAUAGGAAGAGUUUUACAAGAUCCUUUUGGCUAUAUAGUUAAAGUUAUUAGCAGUUAGAGUUUCCCUUACAGUUGACAAGUGAACCAUACAAGUGAAUGACUUGUGGUUCCUCAGAUAAAAGCACGAGUCAGAGUUGUAAUUUCUGUUUUGUGGACGUAAUUGUUGACCAAGUGCACUGAAGGUAGGGAUGGCCAGUAACAAAAUUAUAAAGCAGGCCUGUUUGUCUUCAAACACUCCUGAGUAAACUUGUCAUUUCCUUGUAAAAAUGCAAAAUAGACUACUGAGUAGAGGUGAUCAAUUACAGAAAUGCACUUACUUUGGCUUUCUUCUGAAACCUAAUAAAAUGACAGUAAAGGGAUUAUUUUUUUAAGGCAGAAACCCACAAUGAUGAUGAAAUUAGAAAGGAAGACAAGAACAACAAGGUUGUGGAAUUCAGAAGCCAUAUAGACAAGAGACCACUAGAGAUUAGAAAAUUAUUCUCUGGGGUAUCUGACCACUUCCAGAGGAAAGACAUAAAGAUGCUGAUGUCGAGAAUGACCCAACUAAAUGGCCCAGCCAGAUGACCCAGUUGAAGCUGGUGGACAAGAAGUUUCAUUCAUGGAAUCAGAACUUCCAAUAAGCUGGGAAAACGGCAAUGGAUUAAUAACAAGAAAUUAAUGGUGAAGUGGUGACGAAAAUUCUACAUUGCUUAGAAAGCAAGUAAGAAAAUCAGUGGUUGUAGAGAAGUUCUUACAUGAAGUAAUAAAAAUAAAAAUUGUUAUGUUAAGCAUUUUCUAUUUUCUUUUCCUCCCCUCCAAAUGAAACAGCAUACUAUUCUGCAUGUUUUUCUACCUAACAAUGUAUCUUUUUAAUGACUCUUGUAUUUUAAACCUAAAAUUUUGAUUAAGCUUCACUUAAUAUUAAAAAAGAUAGUAUAGGUCACGAUGUUAUUUGAUGCAAACGUUGGAAAGACAGAAUCUUCUUGAUCCAAGAGCUUUUAGAAUUCAAAGUCUGAUUCUGGUUAUUACUCUGCUCAUUUAAGAUAGUGAAAUGAACAUUUACAUUCUGGCAACCUCAGAAGUACAACGAACAAAGGACACCAGCCAGGUAGGGCAAAGGCCUGUGAACCCCCUUUUGCUGUUAAAUGUUUAUCAGAUGAGUGCUCUGUUUCUGUUAUAUUAUAUUGCUUUUCUCUCCAAUGUUUACUGAGGAAGAACAAGUAGCUCCUCAGGCAAGUCAACUGUUAACUUUGCAGUUUUUAUUUAAUCUCCCAGGAAUGUAACCCUUAACUUUAAAGAAUGUAGUGACCAUAAAACUUAUAAAGCAUGUUUCUUAAGGAAAUUGUACCUGUUUAUUUAAUCUAUCAGAUAUGAAUGUUAUAGAAAAUUAAAUUUGUCCACUUAAGCUGUAGAUGAACUUUUCACCUUUCUGAUCAGAAAUUCACCAUCUUAUAGUAUAGGUUCUGUUAUUAAUCAGAAUAUUUCAUUUAGACUCUUUCUAUCCAACUUUUUCUUAGAGGCUAUUCAAAAUAAAGGUGCUUCUAACAGUUUCAUAUCGAAAUACGAUGCAAAGCCUUGCUCUUCCAUGGUAUCCUUUGAGUGAGCCAAACUUAUUUAGCCAUUCCCCUAUAGUUAAAUAGCUAGGAUGUUUCCAACAUCUCACCUUUAAAACAAUAGUGCUAUGAAUGUCAUAAAUGUUUGUAUAUGUAAAUAUGUAGGAUAAAUCCCUAUCAGUAGAAUUUCAAAAGGUAUACGCAAUCAGUAUUUUCAUACAUAUUUAAAAUUUUCCAUCCAUACAAAGGUUGCUAACAUAUUUAUUUAAAAUUUUAAAAAUAAUUUUAUAUGCCUCUUGUAACCAGUAAUAGGAUGCAAAGUUUUUUUUAAGGUAACAUUGCUCCUCUUCCCCCAUUGUCUCUGUCAUCUAUAGUACUCCCUGAGGUAGUUCAUGUUAUUGCAAGGGUGUGUAUCAUCACAAACAUAUUGCUUCCACAUACAUAUAUCAGCAUACAUAUAUAUAUAUGUAUAGCAUAUAUAUAUAUGAGCACAUAUUAAUAUAUGCCCAUGCACAUACAAGCAUGUUUUUGUUAAUUUUUACUGAAAUGGAAUCAUACUGCAUACUUAUGAACAAAUUGCUUCUUUCACCUUAUAUCACUUAUAAUUGUUAUUCUACAAAUCAGUACAUAUAAAAAAUACAUAUUUACAUAUGUAAUACUCUAUCUUUCUGUUAUAAUUUUCUGCAUGCACAUGUAUGCAUAUACAUAUAUUCAUAAACAUAAAACUUAAUCUAAACGGGAUUUUUUUUGGGGGGGGUGAUAUGGUUUGGCUGUGUCCCCACCCAAAUCUCAUCUUGAAUUCCCAUGUGUUGU